Molecule: small nucleolar RNA, 149 nt
Organism: Camelus dromedarius (Arabian camel)
Lineage: Eukaryota; Metazoa; Chordata; Mammalia; Artiodactyla; Camelidae
Source: Ensembl
GGCUGACUUUAUCCUCUCACUGCUUGGAGUCUUAGGCAGUGAGACUUUUGUCCAUCAUAUAUCUAAGCUGACUUGUCUUCACUCAGGGCACCAUAGGGAUGGGUUGGCUGUCCGUUGGUGCCUUCUGAUUUUUGCAGAGUCAAACAAUU